UACGUAGGUGGCAAGCGUUGUCCGGAUUUAUUGGGUUUAAAGGGUGCGUAGGCGGUUCUCUAAGUCAGUUGUGAAAUACUUCAGCUUAACUGGAGAGGUGCAAUUGAUACUGGAGAACUUGAGUACUGAUGAGGUAGGCGGAAUGGACGGUGUAGCGGUGAAAUGCUUAGAUAUCGUCCAGAACACCGAUAGCGAAGGCAGCUUACUAAGGAGUAACUGACGCUGAGGCACGAAAGUGUGGGGAUCAAACAGG
This 253-nucleotide ribosomal RNA is filed under the name uncultured bacterium. Its description in RNAcentral is "partial 16S ribosomal RNA". It matches the Rfam family "Bacterial small subunit ribosomal RNA", at positions 524 to 776 of the family's 1533-position model. The record is from RNAcentral.